CACUGCCCACUGUGCCACUGUCUGCAGGGCCCACAGAGAGCAGGGAAGGAAACCGAGGGGAACACCUCACUUUCAUGCUGCGGGAAAAGUAGAAGCCUGUGUUGAUGCUUCUUCCCAACAUCCCAACCUCUUCAGCAAGUGUUGGGACAGCCAUGGACUAUCACUGCUGAGUCAGAAAGAAAGCUGAGGGAAGAGCUGGGACGGAAAAGCAGCUAUCAAGGCAAAAAUCUUUCAAGCCCAUGUGCCCAUGAGCAAAAUAAAAUAUCAAAGGGGUUCCUGCUAGGAGAAAGAUGCAGACCCACAGAUACAGAGGGGCGAUUUUAUUGACAUCCUUCUACUGGAAGAAUUCAAACAAUGACUAAAUGUCAUUUUAUGAGGAAAUUUGUAGAAGAGAUCCUUGCCUGUGUUGGGAUGUUGGACUGAUGAUCUGUAAGACUUCUUCUGAAAUCUGAUUCUAUGAUUCCAGAUUGUUUGACUUACCCGAA
Molecule: long non-coding RNA, 485 nt
Organism: Lemur catta (Ring-tailed lemur)
Lineage: Eukaryota; Metazoa; Chordata; Mammalia; Primates; Lemuridae
Exons: 3
Source: RefSeq, a predicted model, not a curated record